AUUCAUAUAGUUUAUUAAAACAUUACAUUUUCAUUGUAAAAUUGGAAAAAUUUCCUAUGAAUU
RNAcentral lists this transfer RNA (63 nucleotides) under Geoffmonteithia queenslanda. Its description in RNAcentral is "tRNA-Glu". It matches the Rfam family "tRNA". Rfam says of the family: Transfer RNA (tRNA) molecules are approximately 80 nucleotides in length. The record is from RNAcentral. Lineage: Eukaryota; Metazoa; Arthropoda; Insecta; Coleoptera; Cerambycidae.